RNAcentral lists this unclassified non-coding RNA (332 nucleotides) under soil metagenome. RNAcentral's name for it is "partial contains 5.8S ribosomal RNA, internal transcribed spacer 2, and large subunit ribosomal RNA". The stretch from base 1 to 120 matches the Rfam family "5.8S ribosomal RNA", at positions 35 to 154 of the family's 154-position model. The record is from RNAcentral.
GAUGAAGAACGCAGCAAAAUGCGAUAAGUAAUGUGAAUUGCAGAAUUCAGUGAAUCAUCGAAUCUUUGAACGCACAUUGCGCCCGCCAGUAUUCUGGCGGGCAUGCCUGUUCGAGCGUCAUUUCAACCCUCAAGCACAGCUUGGUGUUGGGACUCGCGUUAAUUCGCGUUCCCCAAAUUGAUUGGCGGUCACGUCGAGCUUCCAUAGCGUAGUAGUAAAACCCUCGUUACUGGUAAUCGUCGCGGCCACGCCGUUAAACCCCAACUUCUGAAUGUUGACCUCGGAUCAGGUAGGAAUACCCGCUGAACUUAAGCAUAUCAAUAAGCAGAGGA